CAAGCAGACUUCAGCAUGACCUCUCUCCAUAACAGUCUUGUUAACUGUGCAUUCUUUGCUUGACCAUUCUUCAUGGGGUCACGGCAUGACUUUAUGGCUCAAAUACGUUUGCACAGGAAGUUUGCAAAGAUUCAGUUCCUAUUUUGAACUUGAGCAGUCCAGGGAAGAAAAAAUAACUUUGGGGACAGACACAGACUUCAGAGGGCUAUUGGGACUGCA
Non-coding RNA from Notechis scutatus (mainland tiger snake), 219 nucleotides. The record is from RefSeq and is a predicted model, not a curated record. Lineage: Eukaryota; Metazoa; Chordata; Lepidosauria; Squamata; Elapidae.